UUUUAAUUAAAGACUAGAACAAAAGAUUAAACGUUUAAAUUUAUUUUUAAAAACUAUUCAUUUAAAAUUAUCUUAGACGUAAAAAGACGUCUAUUUAAAAAAAAGACGACAAGACCCUAUUGAACUUAACUUUAGUUUAACUGGGGCAGUUAUUAAAUUAAUACUUUUAUUAAAAUACUUUUAUUAAAGAUCCAGUAAUACUGAUCUUAUGACUAAGUUACCAUAGGGAUAACAGCGUAAUAAUUUUUAUAAGAACUUAUAUAAAAAAAAGAUUGCGACCUCGAUGUUGAAUUAAUAUCCUAGUUUACGCAAUAGUUAAUUAAGGAAGUCUGUUCGACUUUUAAAAAAUUACAUGAUCUGAGUUCAAACCGGA
RNAcentral lists this ribosomal RNA (373 nucleotides) under Ancylometes bogotensis. Its description in RNAcentral is "partial large subunit ribosomal RNA". The stretch from base 105 to 373 matches the Rfam family "Archaeal large subunit ribosomal RNA", at positions 2156 to 2689 of the family's 2987-position model. The record is from RNAcentral. Lineage: Eukaryota; Metazoa; Arthropoda; Arachnida; Araneae; Ctenidae.